AAAGAAUGAGGCAGAAUAUUCCUUAAAGGAGAAAUAAGUACAUCUAUCUAUCUUUGUAUUAGAUCUUUAAUAAUGCAGUCAGCAGAAGAGGGACACGUCACCCCGGAGGAUCUACAACAUGAAGGAUUCCAGAAGAAACCAAUAAAAAAGGAAGAAGAUGAAGAUGAGGACGAUGAUUUCUUCUGUGAAGGAUCGUUAAUCCCUGUGGAACAAGUCAUGGAACUCUUCUCCUCAGUGGACCAACAGUGUGGAGGUUUCCAGAUGAAGCCUGUGAAGAAGGAAGAACCUGAAGAUACAAAUGAACUCAGUAAGACUUCAGCAAAAUCACAUUUUUAUUUAAUAAAGUUUUAUUUUGUGACCUUA
Trichomycterus rosablanca is the source of this 363-nucleotide long non-coding RNA. RefSeq lists it as uncharacterized. The transcript has 2 exons. The record is from RefSeq and is a predicted model, not a curated record. NCBI's taxonomy places the organism in Eukaryota, Metazoa, Chordata, Actinopteri, Siluriformes, Trichomycteridae.